CAAAGAAUUAUUUUUGUUCAUGUCUCAGUGUGUUGGCUGGUGUUUGGCUGAUCUUGGCUGGGCUUAUCUGGACUUGGCUUCAGGACAGAUGUUGUUCUAGCUCUGCUCCACCCACUUCUUAUUUUUUGGGACUUGUGCAUGGCAUAGGGACAUCUGUUUUCCAUGGCAAUGGCUGAAGAACACGAAAGACACUGAUACAAGUAUCUUUGAAGCCUCUGUGUCUUAUCUGCUAUCAUUCUUCUGACCAAAGGAAAUAACAGCCUAUGCUGCAUCAGUGAGGUUCUUCAAACCCAAGAGAAAUUUCAAGCAGAAGACUAUGAAUGUUGCAGACCUUCUUUUCCCUUCUUUUGUCACAGCUGAUAGGGGCUGUGUAUUCUCAGUCCAUGAGAAGAGCUAAAGAGAAGCAAAUUUUCACUUCAAUGCUUGAGAAUACAUUUUACACAUUAUUUAUAACAUUGGUGGGAUUUAAACUAUUUUGAAUUUCUGUAUUUAUUUACUUUUUUUUCUCAUAAUGUUAGAUCCUUAUCAAAAGUUUUCUUGUUAAGUGAACUUUGGUAUAGAAUUAAUGUUUUCUAUCCAGACUUCCCUAGAAAAUAUAGCAGUUGUGUCACUAUGGAUUAAUGUUAUAUAACCAUGAUAUACCUACUCAUUUGUUGAUGACCAAUUUUAAAAAGAUUCUAUAAUGUGGAAUCCAUUAUGGAGAAUGGGUAUAAGAAUAUGUUUCUUACCUUUUUCACAAAUGAAUUGAGAACAUCCAUUUUGGUUGAAUGCAAUUAAUUAUUUUUACUAACAGUUAAAAUAUAUGGCAUAAAAAUAUAAUACUUAAAUAAAAGCAGGUGUAUAUUUCCA
Molecule: long non-coding RNA, 849 nt
Filed under: Vulpes vulpes (red fox)
Lineage: Eukaryota; Metazoa; Chordata; Mammalia; Carnivora; Canidae
Description: lncRNA (ENSVVUG00000029369.1)
Source: RNAcentral